AUCCUACAGCUACCCCCAUCAAGUAUCUCUUUCUCAUUAACGCAGAGUGGUUAAAUAUGUCCUUCGCCAAUCCCCAUGUAUUUCAGUCAUGGUAUAUAACUGUUAAUCAUAGAGUUCAUUGAUUUCCUUCUUUCAGGUUACUUCAUAUAAGAAAAACAAAAUCAAAAAGACUAUUGAUAAACAGAGAAUAGCGCAAAUAACUGAUUAGAUGAGCAAAGUGUUAAGACAUUCAUCAUCUUAGGUCACGAUCUACUCGUUCGGACGCGUGUUGACAGAAGCUCGGCGGGAAACCAUUGCAAGUGGGCGUGUUUAGUGACUUCCAGUGUUUAGCUUUUUCCGAGGCGUUUAGUGUAUGCUAUGGCGACGAAGGUGGUGUGCGUGGAUCAAAGGAAGCCAUGUCCACGUAAAUAUGUCUUCAGCAACGCAAGGUAAUUCACCACACCUGGCCCUCACCUGGUGGCUCCGUAAUCUAUGCCCUGACCUGACCUGACCUGACCUCGAAGUGACCUCAGUCUCAUCGUUAGCAAAGGAGACAGUUCAAGGGCACACAAAAAAAGGAAACAAUAAUGAAAACAAGCCCGCUACUUACUGCUCCCAUAAAGAGUGCAGAGGAGUGGCCCAAAGAGAGGUCAAUUUCGGGAGAUGUGUUCUGAUACCUGUUCUUAUAUGAUAAUAAAAUUUCCUGAUC
Eriocheir sinensis (Chinese mitten crab) is the source of this 688-nucleotide long non-coding RNA. RefSeq lists it as uncharacterized. The transcript is spliced from 3 exons. NCBI's taxonomy places the organism in Eukaryota, Metazoa, Arthropoda, Malacostraca, Decapoda, Varunidae. The record is from RefSeq and is a predicted model, not a curated record.